RNAcentral lists this ribosomal RNA (2932 nucleotides) under Escherichia coli. RNAcentral describes it as "23S ribosomal RNA". It matches the Rfam family "Bacterial large subunit ribosomal RNA". The record is from RNAcentral. Lineage: Bacteria; Pseudomonadati; Pseudomonadota; Gammaproteobacteria; Enterobacterales; Enterobacteriaceae.
GGGUUGUGAGGUUAAGCGACUAAGCGUACACGGUGGAUGCCCUGGCAGUCAGAGGCGAUGAAGGACGUGCUAAUCUGCGAUAAGCGUCGGUAAGGUGAUAUGAACCGUUAUAACCGGCGAUUUCCGAAUGGGGAAACCCAGUGUGUUUCGACACACUAUCAUUAACUGAAUUCAUAGGUUAAUGAGGCGAACCGGGGGAACUGAAACAUCUAAGUACCCCGAGGAAAAGAAAUCAACCGAGAUUCCCCCAGUAGCGGCGAGCGAACGGGGAGCAGCCCAGAGCCUGAAUCAGUGUGUGUGUUAGUGGAAGCGUCUGGAAAGGCGCGCGAUACAGGGUGACAGCCCCGUACACAAAAAUGCACAUGCUGUGAGCUCGAUGAGUAGGGCGGGACACGUGGUAUCCUGUCUGAAUAUGGGGGGACCAUCCUCCAAGGCUAAAUACUCCUGACUGACCGAUAGUGAACCAGUACCGUGAGGGAAAGGCGAAAAGAACCCCGGCGAGGGGAGUGAAAAAGAACCUGAAACCGUGUACGUACAAGCAGUGGGAGCACGCUUAGGCGUGUGACUGCGUACCUUUUGUAUAAUGGGUCAGCGACUUAUAUUCUGUAGCAAGGUUAACCGAAUAGGGGAGCCGAAGGGAAACCGAGUCUUAACUGGGCGUUAAGUUGCAGGGUAUAGACCCGAAACCCGGUGAUCUAGCCAUGGGCAGGUUGAAGGUUGGGUAACACUAACUGGAGGACCGAACCGACUAAUGUUGAAAAAUUAGCGGAUGACUUGUGGCUGGGGGUGAAAGGCCAAUCAAACCGGGAGAUAGCUGGUUCUCCCCGAAAGCUAUUUAGGUAGCGCCUCGUGAAUUCAUCUCCGGGGGUAGAGCACUGUUUCGGCAAGGGGGUCAUCCCGACUUACCAACCCGAUGCAAACUGCGAAUACCGGAGAAUGUUAUCACGGGAGACACACGGCGGGUGCUAACGUCCGUCGUGAAGAGGGAAACAACCCAGACCGCCAGCUAAGGUCCCAAAGUCAUGGUUAAGUGGGAAACGAUGUGGGAAGGCCCAGACAGCCAGGAUGUUGGCUUAGAAGCAGCCAUCAUUUAAAGAAAGCGUAAUAGCUCACUGGUCGAGUCGGCCUGCGCGGAAGAUGUAACGGGGCUAAACCAUGCACCGAAGCUGCGGCAGCGACGCUUAUGCGUUGUUGGGUAGGGGAGCGUUCUGUAAGCCUGUGAAGGUGUGCUGUGAGGCAUGCUGGAGGUAUCAGAAGUGCGAAUGCUGACAUAAGUAACGAUAAAGCGGGUGAAAAGCCCGCUCGCCGGAAGACCAAGGGUUCCUGUCCAACGUUAAUCGGGGCAGGGUGAGUCGACCCCUAAGGCGAGGCCGAAAGGCGUAGUCGAUGGGAAACAGGUUAAUAUUCCUGUACUUGGUGUUACUGCGAAGGGGGGACGGAGAAGGCUAUGUUGGCCGGGCGACGGUUGUCCCGGUUUAAGCGUGUAGGCUGGUUUUCCAGGCAAAUCCGGAAAAUCAAGGCUGAGGCGUGAUGACGAGGCACUACGGUGCUGAAGCAACAAAUGCCCUGCUUCCAGGAAAAGCCUCUAAGCAUCAGGUAACAUCAAAUCGUACCCCAAACCGACACAGGUGGUCAGGUAGAGAAUACCAAGGCGCUUGAGAGAACUCGGGUGAAGGAACUAGGCAAAAUGGUGCCGUAACUUCGGGAGAAGGCACGCUGAUAUGUAGGUGAAGUCCCUUGCGGAUGGAGCUGAAAUCAGUCGAAGAUACCAGCUGGCUGCAACUGUUUAUUAAAAACACAGCACUGUGCAAACACGAAAGUGGACGUAUACGGUGUGACGCCUGCCCGGUGCCGGAAGGUUAAUUGAUGGGGUUAGCGGUAACGCGAAGCUCUUGAUCGAAGCCCCGGUAAACGGCGGCCGUAACUAUAACGGUCCUAAGGUAGCGAAAUUCCUUGUCGGGUAAGUUCCGACCUGCACGAAUGGCGUAAUGAUGGCCAGGCUGUCUCCACCCGAGACUCAGUGAAAUUGAACUCGCUGUGAAGAUGCAGUGUACCCGCGGCAAGACGGAAAGACCCCGUGAACCUUUACUAUAGCUUGACACUGAACAUUGAGCCUUGAUGUGUAGGAUAGGUGGGAGGCUUUGAAGUGUGGACGCCAGUCUGCAUGGAGCCGACCUUGAAAUACCACCCUUUAAUGUUUGAUGUUCUAACGUUGACCCGUGAUCCGGGUUGCGGACAGUGUCUGGUGGGUAGUUUGACUGGGGCGGUCUCCUCCUAAAGAGUAACGGAGGAGCACGAAGGUUGGCUAAUCCUGGUCGGACAUCAGGAGGUUAGUGCAAUGGCAUAAGCCAGCUUGACUGCGAGCGUGACGGCGCGAGCAGGUGCGAAAGCAGGUCAUAGUGAUCCGGUGGUUCUGAAUGGAAGGGCCAUCGCUCAACGGAUAAAAGGUACUCCGGGGAUAACAGGCUGAUACCGCCCAAGAGUUCAUAUCGACGGCGGUGUUUGGCACCUCGAUGUCGGCUCAUCACAUCCUGGGGCUGAAGUAGGUCCCAAGGGUAUGGCUGUUCGCCAUUUAAAGUGGUACGCGAGCUGGGUUUAGAACGUCGUGAGACAGUUCGGUCCCUAUCUGCCGUGGGCGCUGGAGAACUGAGGGGGGCUGCUCCUAGUACGAGAGGACCGGAGUGGACGCAUCACUGGUGUUCGGGUUGUCAUGCCAAUGGCACUGCCCGGUAGCUAAAUGCGGAAGAGAUAAGUGCUGAAAGCAUCUAAGCACGAAACUUGCCCCGAGAUGAGUUCUCCCUGACUCCUUGAGAGUCCUGAAGGAACGUUGAAGACGACGACGUUGAUAGGCCGGGUGUGUAAGCGCAGCGAUGCGUUGAGCUAACCGGUACUAAUGAACCGUGAGGCUUAACCUUACAACGCCGAAGCUGUU